GAAUGUAGGGCAAUCUGGCCGUGGCAUCUGUCACCCCAUUGAUUGCAGGGCUGAUUAGAUGAUCUGGCCAGCUUUAUGUUGUCCCCCUCCCUCCAUCACUGCUCCACAAGUGUCCUUCUGAAAUCUGUCCCUCUCCAGCUGAGAGCCAUUCUUUAGUCAGGCAGAUAGCUGUUCCCUGAUAGCUGCUCCAAAGAAGCUCUUAAGAAUCAUGAAACUCACUAAUGGAAGUCAACCUCGGUGAU
This is a non-coding RNA of Cricetulus griseus (Chinese hamster), 242 nucleotides long. The record is from Rfam. Lineage: Eukaryota; Metazoa; Chordata; Mammalia; Rodentia; Cricetidae.